RNAcentral lists this ribosomal RNA (274 nucleotides) under uncultured bacterium. RNAcentral's name for it is "partial 16S ribosomal RNA". It matches the Rfam family "Bacterial small subunit ribosomal RNA", at positions 523 to 796 of the family's 1533-position model. The record is from RNAcentral.
AUACGGAGGGUGCAAGCGUUACUCGGAAUCACUGGGCGUAAAGCGCGCGCAGGCGGCUAUUUAAGUUGGAUGUGAAAGCCUACGGCUCAACCGUAGAACUGCAUCCAAAACUAUUUAGCUAGGGUGUGGGAGAGGAAGAUGGAAUUAGUUGUGUAGGGGUAAAAUCCGUAGAGAUAACUAGGAAUACCAAAAGCGAAGGCAAUCUUCUGGAACACUACUGACGCUGAGGCGCGAAAGCGUGGGGAGCAAACAGGAUUAGAAACCCGAGUAGUCC